RNAcentral lists this ribosomal RNA (368 nucleotides) under uncultured organism. Its description in RNAcentral is "bacterial LSU rRNA". It matches the Rfam family "Bacterial large subunit ribosomal RNA", at positions 2099 to 2465 of the family's 2925-position model. The record is from RNAcentral.
CUUUACUGUAAUUUGCAAUUGAAUUUGAAUUUUAUUUGCGUAGAAUAUGUGGGAAACUAAGAUAUUAUUUUUCUGGAAAUAAAGGAGUUAACAAUGAAAUACCACACUAAUAAAAUUAAAAUUCUAAAUUUAAAUCAUUUAGAUGAUUAAAUAACAGUUUCAAAUAGACAGUUUGACUGGGGCGGUCGCCUCCUAAAAAGUAACGGAGGCGUACAAAGGUUUUUUCAAAUCGGUCAGAAAUCGAUUUUAGAGUGUAAAGAUACAAAAAAGCUUAACUGUAAGAAAAACAAUUCAAACAGAAACGAAAGUUGGUCUUAGUGACCUAACGAUACUGUAUGGAAAGGUCGUUAAUCAACGGAUAAAAGUUA